GCUGUCGCUUAUGGAUGAGCCCGCGUCUGAUUAGCUAGUUGGUGGGGCAAUGGCCUACCAAGGCGACGAUCAGUAGCCGGCCUGAGAGGGUGAACGGCCACACUGGGACUGAGACACGGCCCAGACUCCUACGGGAGGCAGCAGUGGGGAAUAUUGCGCAAUGGGGGAAACCCUGACGCAGCGACGCCGCGUGAGCGAUGAAGGCCUUAGGGUUGUAAAGCUCUGUUUUAAGGGACGAAUGUUAUGGGGAGUAAUAUGCCCUGUAAAUGACGGUACCUUAAGAGGAAGCCCCGGCUAACUACGUGCCAGCAGCCGCGGUAAGACGCGGGCGAGCGUUGUCCGGAAUUACUGGGCGUAAAGAGCACGUAGGCGGAGACUUAAGUCAGGUGUGAAAGACCGGGGCUCAACCCCGGGACGGCACUUGAAACUGGGUCCCUUGAGGGCAGGAGAGGGCAGUAGAAUUCCUGGUGUAGCGGUGAAAUGCGUAGAAAUCAGGAGGAAUACCAGUGGCGAAGGCGACUGCCUGGACUGACCCUGACGCUGAGGUGCGAAAGCGUGGGUAGCAAACAGGAUUAGAUACCCUGGUAGUCCACGCCGUAAACGAUGGAUACUAGGUGUGGGAGGUAUCGACCCCUUCCGUGCCGCAGCUAACGCAAUAAGUAUCCCGCCUGGGGAGUACGGUCGCAAGGCUGAAACUCAAAGGAAUUGACGGGGGCCCGCACAAGCGGUGGAGCAUGUGGUUUAAUUCGAUUCAACGCGAAGAACCUUACCAGGUCUUGACAUCCAACGAAUCCUUUCGAAAGUUAGGAGUGCCUUCGGGAGCGUUGAGACAGGUGGUGCAUGGUUGUCGUCAGCUCGUGUCGUGAGAUGUUGGGUUAAGUCCCGCAACGAGCGCAACCCUUGCCACUAGUUGCUAACAGGUAAUGCUGAGCACUCUAAUGGGACUGCCGGUGACAAGCCGGAGGAAGGUGGGGAUGACGUCAAAUCAUCAUGCCCUUUAUGACCUGGGCUACACACGUGCUACAAUGGAUGGUACAGAGAGCAGCAAGACGGUGACGUGGAGCGAAUCUCAAAAAGCCAUUCUCAGUUCGGAUUGUAGUCCGCAACUCGACUACAUGAAGUCGGAAUCGCUAGUAAUCGCGAAUCAGCAUGUCGCGGUGAAUGCGUUCCCGGGCCUUGUACACACCGCCCGUCACACCACGAAAGUCGGCAACACCCGAAGCCAGUGAGCUAACUAGCAAUAGAGGCAGCUGUCGAAGGUGGGGUUGGUAAUUGGGGUGAAGUCGU
This 1287-nucleotide ribosomal RNA is filed under the name metagenome. RNAcentral's name for it is "bacterial SSU rRNA". It matches the Rfam family "Bacterial small subunit ribosomal RNA", at positions 211 to 1489 of the family's 1533-position model. The record is from RNAcentral.